AACUCAUUUUCCAGAAAUCUUCUCCUUGAGGCAGAGACCAGAGGAUCUUUCUGGAUGGAAUCUGUGGAAUGACACUGGGACAGCCCCAACUAGGUGACCUAGCCACACCACCCUGCAGUGAAGCUCAAAGUUAACAGGCCCCACUUAUGGCCCCUGGUUUCCAAUAACCAUUUCAGUGCCAUUCCUGAAUAUGAAGAGACGUAGGGGCAUGUCAGAGGGGAAACUCUGACACAAAGAUGGACCCCAAGGUACAGAUGGAGAUGGAUCAAGAAGGAGACAGAGAAUAAGAAUUUGGAGGAAACACAGAUUUUUGCAAGAAGAAUGUUGAAAACAAAAAGAUUAUUAAUAGCCUCAGAAAGAUAAAAGAAGAUAUUGCAACCAGACAAGAUGUCAUAAAAAUUAAUAUUCAGAGAACAAAAAGGAAAUCCUAGAAAUUAAAGUCAUGAUAGCUGAAAUGAAAAGCUCAAUAGAAAGUUGAGAAGAUAAAAAGACACAAAAUAGAUAAAAAGAUUAAAAAGCUGGAAGUUAAGGACAAAUUUUUUUCAAAUUAAAGGACUAGUCCGUGAGGUCCAGUAUUCAAAUAACAUGCCUUUUGGAUUUUGUUUUUUUUCUUAAGAUUUAUUUAUUUAUUUGACAGACAGAGAUCAUAAGUAGGCAGAGAGGCAGGCAGAGAGAGAGAGAGAGAAGCAGGCUCCCCGCUGAGCAGAGACCCUGACUUGAGGCUCUCUCCCAGGACGCUGGGAUCAUGACCUGAGCCGAAGGCAGAGGCCUUAACCCAUUGACCUACCCAGGUGCCCCAUCAAAUAACAUGCAUUUUGGAAAAAAAAGAUAAUCAAAUAGAGAUUGGGUGGGGACACAUGAGGGAGGAAUCUAAAACCCCCAGAAGAUGAAUUGCCCAUCAUAACGACCCAUCAAGUGCCCACCUUGGCACAGCACCCCAAAACCUCAGGAUGCAGGAGGCAAAAAAGAUCCUAUAAGUUUCCAGAGACAGAGAAAGACUGAAGAGAAAAGAUCAAGAAUCAGAUUGUUAUCCACCUGGAAUCGGCUAUCUAUCAGACCACCACUGGAUGGCAUUUGUAUUUGUCUCCCAUUGCUGCUACAAAAGAUAACCACACAUUUGAUGCCUUAUGACAACAUAAACUUCUUAUCUCUACAGUUGUGGCGGUCAGGAAUCCCAAACCGGUCUCAGUGGACUGAACUCAACCAGCAGGCUGAGCUGCAUUUCUUCUGGAAACUCUGGAAAAUCUGAUUCUUUGCCUUUUCUAGCUUUUGGAGGUCACCUGUAUUCUUUGGCUCAUGGCCCCUCUAUCUUCAAAGCCAGCGAAAACACAUCCUCAAGUCUCUCUCUCUCUUUCCCCCACCCCACCUCUGUCUCUACUCUCACAUCUUCUUCUGUGACUCUAACUCUCCUGCCUCUCUCUUAUGAGGACCCUUGUGGCUAUAUUUGAUCCACCAGGAUAAUCUCCUUGUUUCAAAAUCCUUAAUUUAAUCGCACCUGUAAAGUCCCUUUUGUCAUGUAAAAUAAGAGGUUCACAGGUUCCAGGGAUUAUGGCCAGGGCAUCUUUGGGAUGGGGCAUUAUUCUACUCACCCACAGCUUUGGACUUUUAAAGAGCAACACUAGAACCUAGCUGGCAGGGAAUUAAGCCUCUUUUCCAGCCUGGAAGACCUCUCUCUCCGCAAACUAUCAGUCAAGUGUGAGAGUAAAAUAAAGAAAUUUUCAAAUGUAAGAUUCUCAAGAAAUUUGCCUCCCACACAUCCUAUCUGAAGAGGCUCUUGGAGGAUGUUCUCAAACAAAUGACUCAACCAAGAAAGAGAAGGCACUAGGGAUCCAGGAAAUAGUAGAUCCCACAUAGGGACAAAGGAAAGGGUACAGGAAACAUGGUGUUGGAGAGGCAUUCCAGAAGGACAGCUGUGCAGCAGUAAGUUGGAGUGGUUCAGAAGAUUCCAGAAGAGACUUCCUCAGAGAGAUGAACUGAGAGCGUAUCUGAGAGAGAGACAGAGAGAGAGAGAAAGAGAGAGAGAGAGAGAGAAUGAGUAAGGGGAGGGGCAGAAGAUGAGAGAAUCCCAAGCAGACUCCCUGCUGAGCACUGAGCCUGACCCGGGACUCAAUCCCAUGACCCUGAGAUCGUGACCUGAGCCGAAAUCAAGAGUUGGACACUGAACUAACUGAGCCACCCCGGCUCCCCAAAAGGUGCCAUGGGAGAACAAAGGACACAAAGGGUAGGACGCCUGCCCUCACAGGAGUUCACAGCCUAUGAGACAUAAAACGUGUCCAGAAAAGGAGCCCAUGCAUGGAGAAUGGUGAGUGCCCUGAGUCCGGUCAAGGGGAGUGCCUCUAGAGGGGAGGGAGAGAUUCAAUCAGUUUUAAUGGACAGGGUGCGCAUUGAAGGGUGCCUUAAAAUAUUCAGAGAGUUGUUCCUAGUGGGAUGGAAAGAAGAGGCAAAAAUAUUCCAGCCCACUCCCAAAAAGGCAGCAUGAACAAAAUUGGGAUUUCCUGACUCUCCGGGAUCCGAAAUGUUAAAAUAUUUAUCACUGCACUCUGGACAGCUGCAACCUCCCUACACGCCAUUGUCUUGGGCAGAGACGCCCCCAGGUUGGAGCAAAUAAAACUGCCAAUCUGCCUCCAAAGCACUCUAAAAAGUCCCCAAUAAACAGGCUGUGAAAAGUCCACUUUGCUCAAAUUUGAGAGGUGCAGAUAAAAACCACACUGGUAGGGAGAGGGCACCUGGGUGGCUCAGUGGGUUGGGCCUCUGCCUUCAGCUCUGUUCAUAAUCUCAGGGUCCUGGGAUUGGGCCCUCAUUGGGCUCUCUGCUCAGCGGGGAGCCUGCUUCCCCCGCUCUCUCUGCCUGCCUCUCUGCCUACUUGUGAUCUCUCUCUCUGUCAAAUACAUAAAUUUUUUUAAAAGAUUAAAAAAAAACACACUGGGAAUCCAAUGAGCCUUAUCAGUGUGUAUAUAUUAAAUUUAAAAAUAGAUGGGAACCUUGGAAAUCAUCUGCUUCACUCUCAUGUCAGAAGGGACAACUGGGAUUCAAUGGCAGGAAAGUCUCAAGGUCACACCCCAAGCUCGUGGCAGAGCAAGGGUAAAAUCCAUGGUUCCUCAACUUCAGAGGGAGCUGAUCUUCAGCUGGGACAGGACCCACUUCUGACUUAAUUAGUAAAUAGCUAUUUCCCUGAGCCCUCUAAGGGCCAUGGCCCAUCCCAGCUGCCCUGUCUUCUACCCUAGAACCUGCCAGACAUGUUCACAGUCUGCAACCUACAGGCCUAGCCACCAGAACGGCUAAAAUGUAAAAGACUGAUGGUACCUUAUGCUAGUCUAGGGAUAGCAUGACUGGAAGUCUCACACAUCAUUGGUCAGAGUGUAAAAUGAUAUGACUACUUUAGAAAAAAGUCUGACACUUUCUUAUAAA
Molecule: long non-coding RNA, 3408 nt
Organism: Mustela lutreola (European mink)
Lineage: Eukaryota; Metazoa; Chordata; Mammalia; Carnivora; Mustelidae
Exons: 3
Source: RefSeq, a predicted model, not a curated record